GGAAGGAUCAUUAACACGUAUCCACGUUAAUCACCCGAGAACUUACUUAGGACUAGCUGAGGAUCAAGUAAAAAGCUUCGGCUUCCGGCCCCUUGUUCCUUUCUUCGGAGGGGAACACAGUGUGGACAUUGAUCCCCGGCUUCCUAAGCCUGGUAUUCAUCUCUUCGGAGAUGAACACCAACAACAAGAACCUUGCGCGGAGUCUCUCGAGACUCCUCAAGGGGUUCUUGAUGAGUAAACCCCUUUUUCUUUUUUUCGUUUGCCUUGUGCAAAGGAAAAAAAACCCUAAAAGCCGUCUCUUUGUAGACCGCUUUUAACCGAAUACUGUACAACUCUUAGCAACGGAUAUCUUGGUUCUGGCAACGAUGAAGAACGCAGCGAAAUGCGAUACGUAGUGCGAAUUGCAGAAUUCAGUGAAUCAUCAAAUCUUCGAACGCAGAAUGCGCUCUCGGGAUAUUCCUGGGAGCACGCCUCUUCGAGUGUCGACCUAACUUCAGUACCUUCCCUGACUUGCGAAUCGGGUUUCAUCAAGCACCGAUGUGGUCUCCCUGGUGAGAAAGAGCAAGCCCUCUUCCGAGGGUAUCUGGGCACACUUCUAUGGCGAAUGGCGAAGUUAGUCUGACUAACAACGCUAAACGCGUUUUGUGCUUGGUUACUUUCAAUUAUGGGUCUUGAGUAUCACUGGGUAGCAAGCCCUCGUGUUUGAUGUUCAACUUGAUUGUUGGGGGUUCCAAGGUGAAAUUGAGGAUCUUCGCCGAUCCUUUAAAUACAUGCUUCUAUCAAACAAACUCCAGCUUGACUACUGGACUGAAAUUGGGAAUUCGUUCCCUUUUUGGUACUUUAAACCAAAAAAACUAACGAAAACUCCAAACCCCUACCGUCGGGACAACGCUAAACGCGUUCGUGACGGUGGAUAACGUUCACAGGGUAUCGGCUUCGGCUUUUACUUUGUGAACUUACAUCCGAGCCUUCACGAUUCUAUGGCGAAUGGCGAAGACUUGUGGUAGGGUUAGUAGAGUUCUAGUAAGUUUUGGCGGGGUCCUGUCUGGAUAGAUAGUAGUGUUUUUCGAGGAGCUUGCCUUUCCGGCAAACACCUCAACCGACUUCCUGUCAACCUCGGGAUUCGCAUCACCGGGUUGGGGAUCACCGCUCUGAACUUUGGAGAAAAAGAAACAUCUGUUUUUUGAGUAUCUAUUGUUGUAAGGGCAAAACUCUUUUAUAGACCUCGGAUGAAGCGAGAGGACCCGCCGAAUUUAAGCAUAUUAUUAAGCGGAGGAAAAGAAACUAACAAGGAUUCCCCUAGUAACGGCGAGUGAAGCGGGAAAAGCUCAAAAUGAAAAUCGGGUGGCUCAACAGUCAUUCGAGUUGUAAUCUAAAGGCUUGUUUUCUGCGUGUGACCCGGGUAUAACUCUUUUGAAACAAGGGAUCAUAGAGGGUGAAAAUCCCGUCUUUGACCCGGAGUUCGCCGCUUACGAUACAUGUCCAAAGAGUCGAGUAGCUUGGGAUUGCUGCUCAAAAUGGGUGGUAAACCUCAUCUAAAGCUAAAUACCGGCCAGAGACCGAUAGCGAACAAGUACCGUGAGGGAAAGAUGAAAAGAACUUUGAAAAGAGAGUUAAAAAGUACUUGAAAUUGCUAAGAGGGAACCUGUGGAAACCAGUCAUUCUCUGGGCUAUACUUACUACCUGCUAUUGGAGGGCAGCGGUGCGUAGUGUCCUAGACCUGCGCCUGUUGUCGGACAUUUAGUAGGUGGGUCCUGUAGUUCAGGGAGUGUCAGAGUCAGUUCUUUUCGCCGGAGAAAACCAGAGGGAAGGUAGGGUAGGUGGGUUUCUCACUUACCUGUUAUAGCCUUCUGGCGAUACGGUGGAGGGGACUGAGGUAAAGAAAAGGCAUCCCUCCUUGUGGGGGCAAAGGAACCCAUCCCUAUUGCGUUAUUAAGGGUGGCCAACAAAGUUGUCCCUUUUAAGAAGCGUGGUACUGGGUGGGCUACUAUUCGUGUCUUCGCGAUUCUGACGAAAUGGUUUUCACUGACCCGUCUGGAAACACGGACCAAGGAGUCUAACAUAUAUGCGAGUAUUUGGGUGGAAAACCCUGAUGCGUAAUGAAAGUGAAGGCAGCUUCGGCUGCUGAGGUAGGAACCUGGGUUUCGGCCUGGGGGCACUAUCGACCGAUCUACACUCGUGAUAGAUUUGAGUAAGAGCAUAUCUGUUGGGACCCGAAAGAUGGUGAUCUAUGCCUGAACAGGGUGAAGCCAGGGGAAACUCUGGUGGAGGCUCGAAGCGUUACUGACGUGCAAAUCGUUCGUCUGAUUUGGGUAUAGGGGCGAAAGACUAAUCGAACCAUCUAGUAGCUGGUUCCCUC
This 2359-nucleotide unclassified non-coding RNA is filed under the name uncultured fungus. RNAcentral's name for it is "sequence contains 18S rRNA gene, ITS1, 5.8S rRNA gene, ITS2, 28S rRNA gene". The stretch from base 1221 to 2359 matches the Rfam family "Eukaryotic large subunit ribosomal RNA", at positions 1 to 961 of the family's 3401-position model. Lineage: Eukaryota; Fungi. The record is from RNAcentral.